CGGCACGCCUUAUACAUGCAAGUCGAACGAAGUAGCAAUACUUAGUGGCAGACGGGUGAGUAACAUGUAGGUAUCUUCCCUUUGGUGAGGAAUAACACGAGGAAACUUGUGCUAAUACCUCAUAAGUCUUUACGGAGAAAGCUUUAUGCGCCGAAGGAUGAGCCUGCACUUGAUUAGUUUGUUGGUGGGGUAAUGGCCUACCAAGACUUUGAUCUAUAGCUGAUCUGAGAGGAUGAUCAGCCACAUUGGGACUGAGACACGGCCCAAACUCGUACGGGAGGCAGCAGUAGGGAAUAUUGCACAAUGGAGGAAACUCUGAUGCAGCGAUGCCGCGUGAGUGAAGAAGGCCUUUGGGUGUAAAGCUCUUUCGUCGGGGAAGAAAAUGACUGUACCCGAAUAAGAAGGUCCGGCUAA
Molecule: ribosomal RNA, 414 nt
Filed under: uncultured bacterium
Lineage: Bacteria
Description: bacterial SSU rRNA
Rfam family: Bacterial small subunit ribosomal RNA
Source: RNAcentral